AAAAGGCUAAAAUUUUGUUAAAUAUUUACAAAGGUGGCCUCACCAACACUUUAACAAUGUGUUUAAGCAUUGGUGAGUCCAUCUUGCUCGCAAACA
Molecule: long non-coding RNA, 96 nt
Organism: Maniola jurtina (meadow brown)
Lineage: Eukaryota; Metazoa; Arthropoda; Insecta; Lepidoptera; Nymphalidae
Exons: 3
Source: RefSeq, a predicted model, not a curated record